RNAcentral lists this ribosomal RNA (410 nucleotides) under uncultured bacterium. Its description in RNAcentral is "bacterial SSU rRNA". It matches the Rfam family "Bacterial small subunit ribosomal RNA", at positions 37 to 492 of the family's 1533-position model. The record is from RNAcentral.
UGGCGGCACGCCUAAUACAUGCAAGUCGAACGAAGUAGCAAUACUUAGUGGCAGACGGGUGAGUAACAUGUAGGUAUCUUCCCAUUGGUGAGGAAUAACACGAGGAAACUUGUGCUAAUACCUCAUAAGUCUUUACGGAGAAAGCUUUAUGCGCCGAUGGAUGAGCCUGCACUUGAUUAGUUUGUUGGUAGGGUAAUGGCCUACCAAGACAAUGAUCAAUAGCUGAUUUGAGAGGAUGAUCAGCCACAUUGGGACUGAGACACGGCCCAAACUCCUACGGGAGGCAGCAGUAGGGAAUCUUGCACAAUGGGGGAAACCCUGAUGCAGCGAUGCCGCGUGAGUGAAGAAGGCCUUUGGGUUGUAAAGCUCUUUCGUCGGGGAAGAAAAUGACUGUACCCGAAUAAGAAGGU